CCUACUUCUCAUCUGCAUAUUCCAUUUUCAUUCUUUGAAUCCAAGAGCUCUUUAAAAGCCAAAGAAAGGGAAACACGAAGUUGGUCAAGUCACAAAUUAGGAAAGUUCUAUUUAGGAGCCUUGGGUAAAAUUACAUACACCUGCAUGAGACCUGAUACUGGAAACUGGAUGAGAAAGCCUGGGGAGGAAGCACUCUGGUUAUGAAGGCCAUCAGGGAGUAUGGAAGCCGAGGAAAAGGGAGAAACAUGAAGCUGGGACCUAUCAUGGAAGAACUAAAUAUUUUCCCCAUCACUGACCUCCUGCCACACACCUGGCCUAGGAGACAAAAAAAAUUGAAGGAGGUCAAGAAGAAGGCAGAACAAUUGCAGGCCCAGCUGCUGCUUCAUGCCAAAGAUUUCGUGCCUCUGAAGCAGAUCUUGCAAUUACAAGAAAAUGGGGUGACUUCAGCAGAGAAUGUGGAGAAUCUACCUCCCACUCUCAGGAAAAAAAAGGAAAACAGCUAUUUUUAAAAAUUGCAUCUUCAAAGAAAAUGGAAACAAAAAAAAUCAGCUUGCUGCUUAUUAAACAUGAG
Molecule: long non-coding RNA, 571 nt
Filed under: Callithrix jacchus (white-tufted-ear marmoset)
Lineage: Eukaryota; Metazoa; Chordata; Mammalia; Primates; Cebidae
Description: lncRNA (ENSCJAG00000073205.1)
Source: RNAcentral